CCUACGGGAGGCAGCAGUGGGGAAUAUUGGACAAUGGGGGCAACCCUGAUCCAGCCAUGCCGCGUGUGUGAAGAAGGCCCUCGGGUUGUAAAGCACUUUCAGUGAGGAAGAACGCCUGGUGGUUAAUACCCAUCAGGAAAGACAUCACUCACAGAAGAAGCACCGGCUAACUCCGUGCCAGCAGCCGCGGUAAUACGGAGGGUGCGAGCGUUAAUCGGAAUUACUGGGCGUAAAGCGCGCGUAGGUGGCUUGAUAAGCCGGUUAUGAAAGCCCCGGGCUCAACCUGGGAACGGCAUCCGGAACUGUCAAGCUAGAGUGCAGGAGAGGAAGGUAGAAUUCCCGGUGUAGCGGUGAAAUGCGUAGAGAUCGGGAGGAAUACCAGUGGCGAAGGCGGCCUUCUGGACUGACACUGACACUGAGGUGCGAAAGCGUGGGUAGCAAACAGGAUUAGAUACCCGGGUAGUC
RNAcentral lists this ribosomal RNA (465 nucleotides) under Vreelandella stevensii. Its description in RNAcentral is "partial 16S ribosomal RNA". It matches the Rfam family "Bacterial small subunit ribosomal RNA", at positions 338 to 795 of the family's 1533-position model. Lineage: Bacteria; Pseudomonadati; Pseudomonadota; Gammaproteobacteria; Oceanospirillales; Halomonadaceae. The record is from RNAcentral.